Molecule: small RNA, 7412 nt
Filed under: Pan troglodytes (chimpanzee)
Lineage: Eukaryota; Metazoa; Chordata; Mammalia; Primates; Hominidae
Description: retained intron
Source: RNAcentral
CAACAUAUGAAGGUAUCCAGAAAAAGGAAAAUGCUGAGAUUUCUUGGGACCAGUCUGCUGAAGUUUUACAUAACUGGAUUCGAGGUCAUGAUAAAGUCCCUGGAGCUUGGACAGAGAUAAAUGGACAGAUGGUCACUUUCUAUGGCUCGACAUUACUGAAUAGCUCUGUGCCUCCUGGAGAACCACUGGAAAUUAAAGGUGCCAAGAAGCCUGGUCUCGUUACCAAAAAUGGACUUGUUCUUUUUGGUAACGAUGGAAAAGCACUGAUGGUGAGAAAUCUGCAGUUUGAAGAUGGAAAAAUGAUCCCUGCCUCUCAGUACUUUUCAACGGGUGAGACGUCAGUGGUAGAACUGACAGCUGAAGAGGUGAAAGUGGCAGAGACCAUUAAGGUCAUCUGGGCUGGAAUUUUAAGCAAUGUCCCCAUUAUUGAAGACUCAACAGACUUCUUUAAAUCUGGAGCAAGCUCAAUGGAUGUUGCCAGGCUGGUUGAAGAGAUCAGACAGAAAUGUGGUGGGCUUCAGUUGCAGAAUGAAGAUGUCUAUAUGGCCACCAAGUUUGAAGACUUUAUCCAAAAGGUCGUGAGGAAACUGAGAGGAGAAGAUCAAGAGGUGGAGCUGGUUGUAGAUUAUAUUUCAAAGGAGGUCAAUGAAAUGAUGGUAAAAAUGCCAUACCAGUGUUUCAUAAAUGGACAGUUCACAGAUGCAGACGAUGGAAAGACUUACGACACUAUCAACCCAACAGAUGGAUCUACAAUAUGCAAAGUAUCCUACGCUUCUUUGGCGGAUGUUGAUAAAGCAGUAGCAGCAGCAAAAGAUGCUUUUGAAAACGGUGAAUGGGGAAGAAUGAAUGCAAGAGAAAGAGGAAGAUUGAUGUAUAGCGUGAGAAUGAACUAAUACAAGCAAGAUCUGGAACAAAGAUUGUGGGAGGGGGAUUUCAAGCUGGACUCUAGAGUGGCCCCAAAGGAACAGCUCAGAGAACCACUACAAAUACAGAAGAAAAAUAAAUAGAGAAGUUGAACACAAAAGAUGAGUCUUACUGUAUCAUAGUCAUUAUACAGUCCUGCACUUACCUUCCCAUAAAACUUGUGAACACCAAACAGAAAUCUGUUGUAGUGUUUGUAAUUCAUUGUGUACGUUGCUAUCUUGUCUCUUCAGUUAGUUUUGGAAAUAUUUUUGUGCCAACUGGAAAUCCUCAAAUGUUCAUGGGUUCUCAGAAGUGUGGGUUCUGGGAAUGUGGUUCCAAUGACUGGUACUGGCUCAGUCAUUGUUCUACUUCUUACACAUAGAUGAGGCAAGUUAUAUAUGCUUCCAAUACCCUCUGCUUCUCCUUUGUAAUUCUUGAAACAAAUGAUUUAUGAAAAUAUUUGUUUAAUGUCUUUCUUGCCUACUGGACCAUGAUCUCUAUAAGGGCAGAGAUCUGAUCCAUAUGUGUUUACCUCUGAAUUCUCCGUCCUUAGGAUACUGCAUUAUAUGUGACAGGAGCUCAAUCAAUACUUGUUGAAUUUAUUUCUUUCACUGACCACACAGACUUGCAGACCUACUGGAAGAGAACCAAGAAGAGCUGGCAACUAUUGAAGCCCUUGAUUCAGGGGCUGUCUAUACCUUGGCCCUGAAGACACACAUUGGAAUGUCUGUGCAAACAUUCAGAUAUUUUGCUGGCUGGUGUGACAAAAUUCAGGGUUCUACUAUUCCAAUCAACCAGGCCCGUCCAAAUCGCAAUCUGACCUUCACCAAGAAAGAGCCACUCGGUGUCUGUGCCAUUAUUAUUCCCUGGAACUACCCGCUGAUGAUGCUGGCAUGGAAGAGUGCUGCGUGUUUGGCAGCAGGCAAUACCUUAGUGCUCAAGCCAGCACAGGUCACGCCCUUGACUGCUUUGAAGUUUGCAGAACUGUCUGUGAAAGCAGGCUUUCCAAAGGGGGUCAUCAACAUCAUUCCAGGCUCAGGUGGCAUAGCAGGACAACGUCUGUCUGAACAUCCUGACAUCCGCAAACUUGGUUUCACUGGUUCCACUCCUAUUGGCAAACAGAUCAUGAAGAGCUGUGCUGUUAGCAACUUGAAGAAAGUUUCCCUUGAGCUUGGUGGCAAGUCUCCACUUAUAAUAUUUAAUGACUGUGAACUUGACAAGGCUGUGCGAAUGGGCAUGGGAGCAGUAUUUUUCAACAAAGGAGAGAACUGUAUUGCUGCUGGGCGGUUGUUCGUGGAAGAAUCCAUCCACGACGAAUUUGUGACAAGAGUGGUAGAAGAAAUUAAAAAGAUGAAAAUUGGUGAUCCACUUGACAGAUCCACUGAUCAUGGGCCCCAAAAUCAUAAGGCCCAUCUGGAAAAGCUGCUGCAAUACUGUGAAACUGGAGUGAAAGAAGGGGCCACUUUGGUGUAUGGGGGAAGACAAGUCCAAAGGCCAGGCUUUUUCAUGGAGCCGACUGUGUUCACAGAUGUGGAAGACUACAUGUACCUUGCCAAAGAGGAAUCCUUUGGGCCUAUUAUGGUCAUUUCUAAAUUCCAAAAUGGGGACAUCGAUGGAGUGUUGCAGCGAGCAAAUAGUACAGAGUAUGGUUUGGCCUCAGGGGUUUUUACAAGAGACAUAAACAAAGCUAUGUAUGUGAGUGAAAAACUGGAAGCAGGAACUGUUUUUAUUAACACAUACAACAAGACAGAUGUGGCGGCCCCAUUUGGCGGAGUUAAACAAUCUGGAUUUGGAAAAGACUUAGGUGAGGAAGCUCUAAAUGAAUAUCUCAAAACCAAGACGGUGACACUGGAAUAUUAGAGCAACACCAUCAUCAGGAAAGCCUUGACAGACAGCCCUUUUCAACUCUGGACACACUUAAGAAGACUGGGUGUGUUGAGGCAGGAGGUGUCAGCCACAAAUCAAAAAAUACACAGAUGGACCAUGAAGAGGGCCAAGCCAUGUUAAAGCAUUUACACAUGUGCCUGAGUAUUUUCUAAUACACCUUCCAGUGAUUUGGAGUUGUUGCAUUUUGACUAUGUUGUAUAUCAUACGUAUUUCUAAAAUACCAAGCUGUUUUUCCCCUACCUAGACAAAUCUAUUCAUGGUUUCCAACUUGAAGAUGUCAGUACCAUGCAGUUAUAAUACACAAGGUGCAUUUAUUGGAAACUUUGUAUAAUAUGUACAGGUUUUUAACCUCUGAACUAUACAUAGGGGGUUAUUAAAAAGAUUUUCUACAAGUCUUCUUCUAAGGAACAGUAUAACCUGUAAGGAAUGUGAAGGUAGUUCUUUUUUAGUAUUUGGAAAUAAGAUACAUCUUUGUGCCUUUGAUAUUCCAUUUUUUAACCCACUGUGAUGGGUGAUCAACCUAGAAACAUUAUCUUGAGUACCUACUAGGUACCAGGUACUAUAUUAUGUUCUGAGGAGUAUACAGAAUUUAAUGAUAUGAUGGCUGGCCCCCACAUAGUUUAAAUUUUAGUAAAUAGCUUUUGAAGCAAAUUUUACGUAUGAUAUAGUAGAAGGCUGAUCCUGGUCGUAUCAUACCAUCUUCCUAUCUAUGUAACUUUGGGAAACUCUCGCAACUCCUCUGAGCCUCUGCUUCCCUAUGUGUAAAACAGGGAUAGUAAAUGCCUUCCUCGGGACCCUUAAUGGGAGAAUUCAUUGCAAUAAUGUAAGUAAAGCACCUCACAUUAAUGCUUUGCUCAUGGUAAGUACUCAAAUUUAACUCUGAUUUCCUCCGUCACCAUUCUUAAAAGAUAUUGAGAUAGUCUAAUUAACUAGAUGAAUUCAUUUCCCACAACCCUUUUCAAUCAUCAAUUCCUAGAUAUUUUUCUCAUCCAUUGUUCUGACACAAUGCCUGAUACAGCAGCACUGAAAAAUGCCACACAAUGAAAAAUGGCAAUAGUACAAGGAAAAGGGGUGCUUUUCUUUGGGCAGCUCGCUCGUCCUUCAUGGGACGUCUUACUUUCCAUUUUUCCACCUAUUGGUUCUGCUGUUCACUGGCUGUGUUAUCUUGGGCAAGAUAGUAAUCUAAUAUCUCAGAGCCUAGGUUGAGUAUCUAUAAAAUGAAAAUCAAAUCUCUAUCUCAGUAGGUGUUGCAAGGAUUCAGUGAGAUAAUACACAUAAUGCACUUAACAAGGCAUUUGGACCAUAGCAUUGAAGAAAUGGAAACUAUUAACAGCCCAUUUCCCAUUGGCAGACAGAAGUAGUCAGGUAAGUAAAUUUUCACCAUCUAUGUAUGACUAGAAGGCGGCAAAUUUCUGAAUCACAUGAGUCUCCAAAAGAUAGCCAGAAAGUUAAAUUCUAUUAAUCCUCCUUUAAAAAUAAAAUUUCAGUAAACAUUCCUUUUUCUUUGGCUUUGAAGAAGCCUUAGGGAAUAUUUGUCAUUUUGGAGACUUGGCAGAAUAACAUGAGGGGAUUGUAGGGAAUCAAUAAAAACUAAACAACAAAAUCAGAGUCAGAGAACAUUUUCAAAAGGAAGAAUAGGAGGUUUGAUCCCAGCAUGAUAAACAGAGCGAAUUUGGCCUGGAAGCACUUUUGAUUAUACUAUAGCUCAUUUACCAUCCCAGAGUUUGGCACAGCUGAAAUUUUAAGUUGGAAUGAAUAUUCACUGGGCCCAAAAUGACAGUUCAUAUUUGAAUAAAAGUGACAAAAGCCUUUUUAUAAGUAAUCACUUUUAAGUGAAAUGUUUUAACUGAUUUCAUGUGAUUUAGAAUAUGAUUUAAUCAAAUUAUUUUAAUGAUAGAUGGAAUGGCAGACAAAAACAUGCCUGUCCUUCUAGACUGAUUUUACUUUACCCUCUAAUAUUCAUCUCAGUAGCAGUGUUUUAAAUAUUCUCUGGGCUGCAAAACUCUUUGGGAAUCUGAUAAAAGCUAUGAACACUCCCUGUGUCCCGCUUCUACCCCCAAAUUCAUGUGCACACACACAAUUCUGCAAGUAUCUUCAAGGUGUUCACAGACCUCCCAAAGGCCAUGCUUGGGCCCCAGAUUAAGAACUCCUUUCUCCAUAGCAAGUUUUAAACAUUUCUUACCAGCUUAUAUUUUUAGAUCUGGCUGAUCAGAAUCAAAGGCUCUGUGUAAUACAUAAAGUUACCAAGUGAACUGGAAUUGGAACAUCACCAUCCCCAGCCUGCUAGGUGAUUUACUUAACACAUAGAGUAAUAAAAUAAUCGCUGUUGCUUUAGAUCACGGAUUAUUUUGCUAAUAAUGCUAAGGAUGAAGCUGUGAUCUUAUUAUCACCUGAAUCGGGAGGUGUGGACACUUUAAGCAGUUCCACUUUCCUUCUAAUUCCCCAUCCCCAUGCCUUUGCUAAAGCUGUCCCUUUUGCUCUAACACCCUUCCUGGACCUUCCUACCCUAGCUGGGCUAAGUGUUUCUCCUCAGCGUUCCCACUUGUUUCAAACAUAGCACUUACCACUUGUACUAAAAGUACUUGCCUUCUUAAUUAGAUAUGAACAACCCUCCCCAACUCCAGUAUGGGCCUUCUGUCAAUAAUAAUACGAUAUGACAGCUACCAUUUAUUAAGGGCCUCCUGUAUGAAAGACCUUAGGCUAAGCAUGUUUUAAAUGUUAUUUAAUCUUCACAAUCUCUGAAAAAAAUGAAGAAAUCAACGUGCUUUUCUUACUACCUCUACCCCUAAGCCAUCAUUACUUUUUUUUUUUUUUUGAGACAGAGUUUUGCUCUUGUUGCCCAGGCUGCAGUGCAGUGGUGCAAUCUUGGCUCACUGCAACCUCUGCCUCUUGGGUUCAAGCGAUUCUCAUGCCUUAGCCUUCCAAGUAGCUGGGAUUACAGGUGUGUGCCACUACACCUGGCUAAGUAGAGAUGGGGUUUCGCCAUGUUGGCCAGGCUGGUCUUGAACUCCUGACCUCGAGUGAUCCACCUGCCUCCGCCUCCCAAAGUGCUGGGAUUACAGGCAUGAACCACUGCACCUGGCCUGUUACCUCUUUCCUACAAUUUUGCUCAAGUCUCCCAACUGGUCUUCUGGAUUCCUCUCUUCUGCGGUCCUGUUCAAAGCUUAAGUCAGACAGUGUCACUUCACUCGUCUGUUUAAAACCUUUCAAUGGCCCCCAUUUCACGUAGACCAAAGUCCAACGUAUUUACCUGGCCUACUCAUCUUGCUCCUAGCUACCUCUGACCUCAUCUCCUGUCAAUUUCCCUCUCAUUCUGUUCCACCAUCCUGACUGGCUUGACUUCCUCAACAGAACAAGCCUGCUCCUGCCUCAGGGCCUCUGUCCUUAUUCUUCCUCUUCCCAGGGGUGUGCUGGUAAAAUAUUUAACAAAUAGUUCUCCGGGACGGGGGAGAAAACCCUAAUUUGUAGCAUUUGCAGGUAUCUAUGUGUAAAUACUCUCAUCAAGGCUAUUUUUGAGCCACUAAUUUGCCUUCACUGAAUACAGAGUUUGGGAAGAGAUGCAUGCCAUCAGAACAAAUGCAAGCCAGCACCAGCACACCACUGCCUCUUCCUGCAACUCUUGUCCAUACACAACCUCAUGGCUGGCUGGCUCACUUCCUGCAGGUCUCUCCUCAAAUAUCAUCUGAUGAGAGACACAUUCCCUGACUAUGCUUUCUAAAAUAGGCCAUAUGCCCCCACAUUCAUACCCCAUCUGCUGUCAUUCUUUAUUCUUUUUAUAAGUGCAUUAUUUUCACAGCACUUAUCACUACCUGUUGUAUAUUAAUCAAUGAUCUUUUCCCAUUAGAAUGUAAGUUUCAUGAACAGGUACUUGUUUUAAUACUGUAUCUCCAGUCCUAAUAUGUAACAGGAGCCCAAUAAAUGUUUGCUUUCAAAUGGAGAGGUUAAGUAACCUGCUCAAAUCACACAGCUAUUAAGUGGCAGAACAGGUUUUCAAGCAAUGCAUCUGGUGGUUUUAACUAAGUCGAGAUAGUUUUUAUUCCUAAUGCCUAAAUCAGGGCCUAGGUAGUGAGCUGUGGGCACAUAUUAAGUAUUGGUUAAACUAAAAAUAAUAAUAAUAAGCAAAAUGGACAUUAUCUAUAAAAGCUUUUGUGGAAGUGGCCAGAGCUAGGGUAAGGAAACAAAUUUGGUUCCCCAUACCUGCCCUCCAAGAAAAUAAAGCUGUCAAGGAAAAUCUGGGCUAAGAGUAGGAUAUGAGGGAUGAUGGAUAAGGCAUGAGACAUGAGAAAUAAGGGGGAUUAAAUUAUUAUUACUAUUAUACAAAUGAUGCCUGAGUAGAUUUUUAAAAUGAUUAAAUACCCAAUGAUGUAAAAAACAUUUAUAAAAUAGGAAAGUAAGACUGACUCAACCAUAAUUUGUUGAGUCAACCCAAAAAUCUAUUUGGUUAUUUUCAAACAGAAAUAGCCUACAGAUGAUAUCUGAGAUUGUUCCAAACUUUUUCUAUGAAUAUGUAUACUUUUUUUACAUAAUUAACAUAAUACUGUAUAUUAAUUUGUUACCUGCUUUUUCAAUUAACAAUAUAUCAUAAGCAUCUAUGCCAAUAAACACAAUUCUGCAUAUUUCAA